GACGAACGCUGGCGGCGUGCCUAAUACAUGCAAGUAGAACGCUGAAGCGAGGAGCUUGCUCUUCUUGGAUGAGUUGCGAACGGGUGAGUAACGCGUAGGUAACCUGCCUUGUAGCGGGGGAUAACUAUUGGAAACGAUAGCUAAUACCGCAUAACAAUGGAUGACACAUGUCAUUUAUUUGAAAGGGGCAAUUGCUCCACUACAAGAUGGACCUGCGUUGUAUUAGCUAGUAGGUGAGGUAAUGGCUCACCUAGGCGACGAUACAUAGCCGACCUGAGAGGGUGAUCGGCCACACUGGGACUGAGACACGGCCCAGACUCCUACGGGAGGCAGCAGGAGGGAAUCUUCGGCAAGGGGGGCAACCCUGACCGAGCAACGCCGCGUGAGUGAAGAAGGGUUUCGGAUCGUAAAGCUCGGUUGUAAGUCAAGAACGGGUGUGAGAGUGGAAAGUUCACACUGUGACGGUAGCUUACCAGAAAGGGACGGCUAACUACGUG
Molecule: ribosomal RNA, 497 nt
Filed under: uncultured bacterium
Lineage: Bacteria
Description: partial 16S ribosomal RNA
Rfam family: Bacterial small subunit ribosomal RNA
Source: RNAcentral